This 447-nucleotide ribosomal RNA is filed under the name uncultured bacterium. RNAcentral describes it as "partial 16S ribosomal RNA". It matches the Rfam family "Bacterial small subunit ribosomal RNA", at positions 329 to 792 of the family's 1533-position model. The record is from RNAcentral.
GUCCAGACUCCUACGGGAGGCAGCAGUGGGGAAUAUUGCACAAUGGGGGGAACCCUGAUGCAGCGACGCCGCGUGGGUGAAGGAGCGUUUCGGCGCGUAAAGCCCUAUCGGCAGGGAAGAAGGAGGACGGUACCUGACUAAGAAGCCCCGGCUAACUACGUGCCAGCAACCGCGGGAAUACGUAGGGGGCAAACGUUAUCCGGAUUUACUGGGUGUAAAGGGGGCGCAGACGGCAGCGCAAGCCAGGAGUGAAAGCCCGGGGCCCAACCCCGGGACUGCUCUUGGAACUGCGCGGCUGGAGUGCAGGAGGGGCAGGCGGAAUUCCUGGUGUAGCGGUGAAAUGCGUAGAUAUCAGGAGGAACACCGGUGGCGAAGGCGGCCUGCUGGACUGCGACUGACGUUGAGGCCCGAAAGCGUGGGGAGCAAACAGGAUUAGAUACCCCUGUA